UACGUAGGGUGCAAGCGUUGUCCGGAAUUAUUGGGCGUAAAGAGCUCGUAGGCGGUCUGUCGCGUCGGCUGUGAAAACCUGGGGCUUAACCCCGGGCCUGCAGCCGAUACAGGCAGACUAGAGUUCGGCAGGGGAGACUGGAAUUCCUGGUGUAGCGGUGAAAUGCGCAGAUAUCAGGAGGAACACCGGUGGCGAAGGCGGGUCUCUGGGCCGAAACUGACGCUGAGGAGCGAAAGCGUGGGGAGCAAACGGG
This 253-nucleotide ribosomal RNA is filed under the name uncultured bacterium. RNAcentral describes it as "partial 16S ribosomal RNA". It matches the Rfam family "Bacterial small subunit ribosomal RNA", at positions 524 to 776 of the family's 1533-position model. The record is from RNAcentral.